AUUGAACGCUGGCGGAAUGCUUUACACAUACAAGUCGAACGGUAGAGGGGGCAACCCCUCGAGAGUGGCGAACGGGUGAGUAAUAUAUCGGAACGUGCCCAGUCGUGGGGGAUAACGUAGCGAAAGUUACGCUAAUACCGCAUACGAUCUAAGGAUGAAAGCGGGGGAUCGCAAGACCUCGCGCGAUUGGAGCGGCCGAUAUCAGAUUAGGUAGUUGGUGGGGUAAAGGCUCACCAAGCCAACGAUCUGUAGCUGGUCUGAGAGGACGACCAGCCAAACUGGAACUGAGACACGGUCCAGACUCCUACGGGAGGCAGCAGUGGGGAAUUUUGGACAAUGGACGCAAGUCUGAUCCAGCCAUUCCGCGUGCAGGAUGAAGGCCCUCGGGUUGUAAACUGCUUUUGUACGGAACGAAAAGGUCUCUCUUAAUACGGGGGGCUCAUGACGGUACCGUUAGAAUAAGCACCGGCUAACUACGUGCCAGCAGCCGCCGUAA
Molecule: ribosomal RNA, 496 nt
Filed under: uncultured bacterium
Lineage: Bacteria
Description: partial 16S ribosomal RNA
Rfam family: Bacterial small subunit ribosomal RNA
Source: RNAcentral